UGACUUUUGGUUCCUGUUGGUGACUUGGUUCAGAGAUAUAUGGGUUCCAGAUGACUUUGGGUCUCAGAUGACUUUGUGGUUCCGAAUUCAAGCCGAAGCUUUGAUCCUGUGCUCCGUAACACACAGCCAACCAGUCGUGUUUGCAUCAUUUGCAUCAUAGCAUGUUUAUUUUCAAAAAAAAUAAUGCAAUAAAAAAAAAGAAAUGAAAAAGAAAAUAGAAAAAAAGCUAAUCUCC
This 235-nucleotide long non-coding RNA is filed under the name Lathyrus oleraceus (garden pea). RNAcentral describes it as "Pisum sativum (pea) long non-coding RNA (PSAT_LNC036294)". Lineage: Eukaryota; Viridiplantae; Streptophyta; Magnoliopsida; Fabales; Fabaceae. The record is from RNAcentral.